This 322-nucleotide ribosomal RNA is filed under the name uncultured Bacillota bacterium. RNAcentral describes it as "bacterial SSU rRNA". It matches the Rfam family "Bacterial small subunit ribosomal RNA", at positions 28 to 351 of the family's 1533-position model. The record is from RNAcentral. Lineage: Bacteria; Bacillati; Bacillota.
GACGAACGCUGGCGGCGUGCCUAACACAUGCAAGUCGAGCGGAGCUAAUAGCAAUAUUAGUUUAGCGGCGGACGGGUGAGUAACGCGUGGGUAACCUGCCUCAUACUGGGGGAUAACACUGGGAAACUAGUGCUAAUACCGCAUAAUUCAGUUCCAGGGCAUCCUGGAGCUGGCAAAGGAGCAAUCCGGUAUAAGAUGGACCCGCGUCCGAUUAGCUAGUUGGCGGAGUAAUAGCCCACCAAGGCGACGAUCGGUAGCCGAACUGAGAGGUUGAUCGGCCACAUUGGGACUGAGACACGGCCCAGACUCCUACGGGAGGCUG